RNAcentral lists this ribosomal RNA (490 nucleotides) under uncultured bacterium. RNAcentral's name for it is "partial 16S ribosomal RNA". It matches the Rfam family "Bacterial small subunit ribosomal RNA", at positions 30 to 507 of the family's 1533-position model. The record is from RNAcentral.
AUUGAACGCUGGCGGCAGGCCUAACACAUGCCAGUCGAACGGUAACAGGAAACAGCUUGCUGUUUCGCUGACGAGUGGCGGACGGGUGAGUAAUGUCUGGGAAACUGCCUGAUGGAGGGGGAUAACUACUGGAAACGGUAGCUAAUACCGCAUAACGUCGCAAGACCAAAGAGGGGGACCUUCGGGCCUCUUGCCAUCGGAUGUGCCCAGAUGGGAUUAGCUAGUAGGUGGGGUAACGGCUCACCUAGGCGACGAUCCCUAGCUGGUCUGAGAGGAUGACCAGCCACACUGGAACUGAGACACGGCCCAGACUCCUACGGUGGGCAGCAGUGGGGAAUAUUGCGCAAUGGGGGCGAGCCUGAUGCAGCCAUGCCGCGUGUAUGAAGAAGGCCUUCGGGUUGUAAAGUACUUUAAGCGGGGAGGAAGGGAGUAAAGUUAAUACCUUUACUCAUUGACGUUACCCGCAGAAGAAGCACCGGCUAACUCCGUG